This 301-nucleotide ribosomal RNA is filed under the name uncultured bacterium. Its description in RNAcentral is "partial 16S ribosomal RNA". It matches the Rfam family "Bacterial small subunit ribosomal RNA", at positions 509 to 807 of the family's 1533-position model. The record is from RNAcentral.
CAGUAGCCACGGUAAUACAGAGGGUGUGAGCGUUAAUCGGAUUUACUGGGCGUAAAGCGUGCGUAGGCGGCUUCUUAAGUCGGAUGUGAAAUCCCUGAGCUUAACUUAGGAAUUGCAUUCGAUACUGGGAAGCUAGAGUAUGGGAGAGGAUGGUAGAAUUCCAGGUGUAGCGGUGAAAUGCGUAGAGAUCUGGAGGAAUACCGAUGGCGAAGGCAGCCAUCUGGCCUAAUACUGACGCUGAGGUACGAAAGCAUGGGGAGCAAACAGGAUUAGAUACCCCCGUAGUCCCUGUCUCUUAUAC